AUACGGAGGGUGCAAGCGUUAAUCGGAAUUACUGGGCGUAAAGCGUACGUAGGCGGUCCGUUAAGUUAGAUGUGAAAGCCCCGGGCUUAACCUGGGAACUGCAUUUAAAACGGGCGGACUAGAGUUGAGUAAAGGGGAGUGGAAUUUCAGGUGUAGCGGUGAAAUGCGUAGAGAUCUGAAGGAACACCAGUGGCGAAGGCGACUCCCUGGACUCGAACUGACGCUGAGGUACGAAAGCGUGGGUAGCAAACGGGAUUAGAAACCCCAGUAGUCC
This 274-nucleotide ribosomal RNA is filed under the name uncultured bacterium. RNAcentral's name for it is "partial 16S ribosomal RNA". It matches the Rfam family "Bacterial small subunit ribosomal RNA", at positions 523 to 796 of the family's 1533-position model. The record is from RNAcentral.